UGUGUUUAGCUCUUGAAAGGUCUUCUGGUUUCCUGAGUGUGAACAUUUCCAGAGUUGACCCUGCUUACCCAUAGAGCAGAGAUGGGAAGAAGUGGGAGGAAGCUUCCCUUUUGCAAGUCCCUGUGUUUUGACCACAGUGAUGGAGCCUGAGGCCGUGGAAAUCCUUUAAGGAGUGUGUGUUUGCAGGUGUUGUUUACAGUAGUAAAAGCUGCACACCCAGCCCAACUAUGCACUGAUCGAGCAUGGGAGAUGGUGUCCUCAAACCCCUGUGAGCAAGCCACUUCACCAGGCUGGUAAUAGUACAUGUACACGUGCAUGGGGUGGUGAGGGGACAGAGCAGUCUGAACAAACAGGGCCCAGACCAGGCUGUGAGCAGACAGGAGGUCCCCAAGGCACCAGCUGCUACUGGAGAAGACAGGGCUGGAGAUGCUGCUGAAAAAGCCAUGAUGCAAACAUCAUCCUCUUAUUGGGCUUUGGGAACUGCUCGUGUUUCCACUGGAUUUGUGCCAUUCAAGCAGUUUCUGCUUAAGAGGAAACUUAAGUACUAUAUUGUCCAUGGUCUGACCUCGUGGGAGCCACCGAGGUGUUAGCUGGUUCCCCUUGUUGCUGCACAGUUGCCUGUGUUUCCAUGCAAGCUUCAUGGGUGCAUCAGCAUGAGUUUAUACGCCAGAGACGUAUCAGUAUAAUACAUGAAAUGGUUUCUUUUUCCCACCCCCACCUUUGCAGUCUCCAGGAGGCUGCCAGAGCUUCCAUUUACACUCCAGAGUCCCAUUGAGAUCAUGACAGCAAUGUUUAUGUGCUAUUCUAAUGCUGUUUUU
RNAcentral lists this long non-coding RNA (818 nucleotides) under Anser brachyrhynchus (Pink-footed goose). RNAcentral describes it as "lncRNA (ENSABRG00000020333.1)". Lineage: Eukaryota; Metazoa; Chordata; Aves; Anseriformes; Anatidae. The record is from RNAcentral.